AGGGCUAUAGCUCAGUUAGGUAGAGCACCUCGUUUACACCUACGGUUCGAGUCCGUAUAGCCCUAAUAUUCCUA
Molecule: transfer RNA, 74 nt
Filed under: Campylotropis harmsii
Lineage: Eukaryota; Viridiplantae; Streptophyta; Magnoliopsida; Fabales; Fabaceae
Also listed under: 1 other name
Description: tRNA-Val
Rfam family: tRNA (bases 1-65)
About the family: Transfer RNA (tRNA) molecules are approximately 80 nucleotides in length. Their secondary structure includes four short double-helical elements and three loops (D, anti-codon, and T loops).
Source: RNAcentral